CUUUCCUUCGGGAAAGAUAUAAAGUGGCGCACGGGUGAGUAACACGUAAGUAAUCUACCUUCGAGUGGGGAAUAACGUCCGGAAACGGACGCUAAUACCGCAUAACGCAGCGGCACCUAAUGGUGACAGUUGUUAAAGGAGCAAUUCGCUUGAAGAGGAGCUUGCGGCAGAUUAGCUAGUUGGUAAGGUAAUGGCUUACCAAGGCUUCGAUCUGUAUCCGGUCUAAGAGACGGUCGGACACACUGACACUGAAUAACGGGUCAGACUCCUACGGGAGGCAGCAGUCGGGAAUUUUGGGCAAUGGGCGAAAGCCUGACCCAGCAACGCCGCGUGAAGGAUGAAGUAUUUCGGUAUGUAAACUUCGAAAGAAUGGGAAGAACUCAAUGACGGUACCAUUUAUAAGCUCCGGCUAACUACGUGCCAGCAGCCGCGGUAAUACGUAGGGAGCAAGCGUUGUUCGGAUUUACUGGGCGUAAAGGGCGCGUAGGCGGCAGAUCAAGUCAGUUGUGAAAUCUCUGAGCUUAACUCAGAACUGUCAACUGAUACUGUUCUGCUAGAGUGCGGAAGGGGCAAUCGGAAUUCUUGGUGUAGCGGUGAAAUGCGUAGAUAUCAAGAGGAACACCUGAGGUGAAGACGGGUUGCUGGGCCGACACUGACGCUGAGUGCGCGAAAGCCAGGGGAGCAAACGGGAUUAGAUACCCCGGUAGUCCUGGCCUUAAACGAUGAAUACUUGGUGUCUGGAGUCUCUAUAGCUCCGGGUGCCGUCGCUAACGUUUUUAGUAUUCCGCCUGGGGAGUACGCACGCAAGUGUGAAACUC
Molecule: ribosomal RNA, 818 nt
Filed under: uncultured Bacillota bacterium
Lineage: Bacteria; Bacillati; Bacillota
Description: bacterial SSU rRNA
Rfam family: Bacterial small subunit ribosomal RNA
Source: RNAcentral